GGGGGGAUGGCGCAGUGGUGGAGCGCCUGGAAAAAUUUUCUGCUGUCUCACGUCAGCAAAGAUCGAAGGUUCGAAUCCUUCUCCCCUCA
This is a transfer RNA of 89 nucleotides. It matches the Rfam family "tRNA". Rfam says of the family: Transfer RNA (tRNA) molecules are approximately 80 nucleotides in length. Their secondary structure includes four short double-helical elements and three loops (D, anti-codon, and T loops). The record is from Rfam.